CUCUCUCUCCAGCAGCGUGUUAUUUCUGCUCUUUUCAGUAUUUAAAUUUUUUGCUUCUGUUCUGAACUUGAACACCAGAAGCUGGUGCCGAGUUGGAUUAUUGAAACUGUGGGAGCUACUGGACUUUGUGGUUCUGGUUCUGCUGGUCUGGAUCAGAUCCUUGAAUCCCUCUGCUGAUCCUCAGGAGGAGAGCAGAUUCUGAAAUGAGUCUCUCCGAGGAGCCUAAGGUAGAGGAUGGAGCGAUGGGCCUUGAAAUUGAGAGGUAAGAGGAUGUCCUUGUGUUUGAGGAACUGAUUCUGUCACUGUCACUGUAUGGUCAGGGAGCUGUGA
RNAcentral lists this long non-coding RNA (330 nucleotides) under Lepisosteus oculatus (spotted gar). Its description in RNAcentral is "lncRNA (ENSLOCG00000023271.1)". Lineage: Eukaryota; Metazoa; Chordata; Actinopteri; Semionotiformes; Lepisosteidae. The record is from RNAcentral.